Molecule: ribosomal RNA, 254 nt
Filed under: uncultured bacterium
Lineage: Bacteria
Description: partial 16S ribosomal RNA
Rfam family: Bacterial small subunit ribosomal RNA
Source: RNAcentral
UACGUAGGGGGCGAGCGUUGUCCGGAUUUAUUGGGCGUAAAGAGCUCGUAGGCGGUUUGGCAAGUCGGGGGGGAAAACUCCGGGCUCAACUCGGAGACGCCACUCGAUACUGCUAUGACUCGAGUCCGGUAGGGGAGUGCGGAAUUCCUGGUGUAGCGGUGAAAUGCGCAGAUAUCAGGAGGAACACCGGUGGCGAAGGCGGCACUCUGGGCCGGAACUGACGCUGAGGAGCGAAAGCGUGGGGAGCGAACAGG